This 514-nucleotide ribosomal RNA is filed under the name uncultured bacterium. RNAcentral's name for it is "partial 16S ribosomal RNA". It matches the Rfam family "Bacterial small subunit ribosomal RNA", at positions 28 to 523 of the family's 1533-position model. The record is from RNAcentral.
GAUGAACGCUGGCGGCGUGCCUAAUACAUGCAAGUCGAGCGACCAGAUGAGAAGCUUGCUUCUCUGAUGUUAGCGGCGGACGGGUGAGUAACACGUGGGUAACCUACCUAUAAGACUGGGAUAACUCCGGGAAACCGGGGCUAAUACCGGAUAAUAUUUUGAACCGCAUGGUUCAAUAGUGAAAGACGGUUUCGGCUGUCACUUAUAGAUGGACCCGCGCCGUAUUAGCUAGUUGGUAAGGUAACGGCUUACCAAGGCGACGAUACGUAGCCGACCUGAGAGGGUGAUCGGCCACACUGGAACUGAGACGCGGUCCAGACUCCUACGGGAGGCAGCAGUAGGGAAUCUUCCGCAAUGGGCGAAAGCCUGACGGAGCAACGCCGCGUGAGUGAUGAAGGUCUUCGGAUUGUAAAACUCUGUUGUUAGGGAAGAACAAAUUUGUUAGUAACUGAACAAAUCUUGACGGUACCUAACCAGAAAGCCACGGCUAACUACGUGCCAGCAGCCGCGGUAA